Molecule: ribosomal RNA, 637 nt
Filed under: uncultured bacterium
Lineage: Bacteria
Description: bacterial SSU rRNA
Rfam family: Bacterial small subunit ribosomal RNA
Source: RNAcentral
GCUCAACCGGGGAGGGUCAUUGGAAACUGGGGAACUUGAGUGCAGAAGAGGAGAGUGGAAUUCCACGUGUAGCGGUGAAAUGCGUAGAGAUGUGGAGGAACACCAGUGGCGAAGGCGACUCUCUGGUCUGUAACUGACGCUGAGGCGCGAAAGCGUGGGGAGCGAACAGGAUUAGAUACCCUGGUAGUCCACGCCGUAAACGAUGAGAGCUAAGUGUUAGAGGGUUUCCGCCCUUUAGUGCUGCAGCAAACGCAUUAAGCACUCCGCCUGGGGAGUACGGUCGCAAGACUGAAACUCAAAGGAAUUGACGGGGGCCCGCACAAGCGGUGGAGCAUGUGGUUUAAUUCGAAGCAACGCGAAGAACCUUACCAGGUCUUGACAUCCUCUGACAACCCUAGAGAUAGGGCUUCCCCUUCGGGGGCAGAGUGACAGGUGGUGCAUGGUUGUCGUCAGCUCGUGUCGUGAGAUGUUGGGUUAAGUCCCGCAACGAGCGCAACCCUUGAUCUUAGUUGCCAGCAUUCAGUUGGGCACUCUAAGGUGACUGCCGGUGACAAACCGGAGGAAGGUGGGGAUGACGUCAAAUCAUCAUGCCCCUUAUGACCUGGGCUACACACGUGCUACAAUGGGCAGAACAAAG